GCCGAACGGGCGGACGGCGAAGCCGGCGCCGAAUGUGGCCAGCGAGGCGAGCAGGGCCGCGGUGGCGUCACCCGGUGGGAAGAACUGCGUGGAAAAGAACGCCGCCAGGACGCCGUAGAGGUAGAAGUCGUACCACUCGAUGAUCGUGCCAGCGGCAGAGGCGCUGAUGACGAACGGAAGCUUGAAUCGGUAUUCAGGGGUCGCGGUCACAGCCGUAGCUGAGGUAGCCAUGAUUGGGAUCCUCCGAUUCGGUGCGCCACAGUGGCGCUCACGGACCUGAGCGACGGUUCGGUCCGAUCGUCUGGUGGAUCCCUCGGCGUCCUCCCUCCUCCCGAACGGCAGCACGAUUGGGCCGUGCUCCCUCCGUGGGGUAUGGGUGGCUCACCGUAAUCGCCCGGCG
RNAcentral lists this unclassified non-coding RNA (400 nucleotides) under uncultured fungus. RNAcentral describes it as "sequence contains ITS1". Lineage: Eukaryota; Fungi. The record is from RNAcentral.